GAUGAACGCUAGCGGCAGGCCUAAUACAUGCAAGCCGAACGGUAAUUCUGAUAGCAAUAUUGGAACUAGAGUGGCGUAAGGGUGCGUAACACGUAUGCAAUCUACCCGCAACAGGAGGAUAGCUCCCCGAAAGGGGAAUUAACCCUCCAUGAAAUCACACGAGGGCAUCCGAGAGUGAUUAAAUUUGAGGAGGUUGUGGAUGAGCAUGCGACUGAUUAGCUAGUUGGCAGUGUAACGGACUACCAAGGCGAUGAUCAGUAGGGGAACUGAGAGGUUGAUCCCCCACACUGGC
This 292-nucleotide ribosomal RNA is filed under the name uncultured bacterium. Its description in RNAcentral is "partial 16S ribosomal RNA". It matches the Rfam family "Bacterial small subunit ribosomal RNA", at positions 28 to 317 of the family's 1533-position model. The record is from RNAcentral.